GAUGAACGCUGGCGGCGUGCCUAAUACAUGCAAGUCGAGCGAACAGACGAGGAGCUUGCUCCUCUGACGUUAGCGGCGGACGGGUGAGUAACACGUGGAUAACCUACCUAUAAGACUGGGAUAACUUCGGGAAACCGGAGCUAAUACCGGAUAAUAUAUUGAACCGCAUGGUUCAAUAGUGAAAGACGGUUUUGCUGUCACUUAUAGAUGGAUCCGCGCCGCAUUAGCUAGUUGGUAAGGUAACGGCUUACCAGGGCGACGAUGCGUAGCCGACCUGAGAGGGUGAUCGGCCACACUGGAACGGAGACACGGUCCAGACUCCUACGGGAGGCAGCAGUAGGGAAUCUGCCGCAAUGGGCGAAAGCCUGACGGAGCAACGCCGCGGGAGUGAUGAAGGUCUUCGGAUCGUAAAACUCUGUUAUUAGGGAAGAACAAAUGUGUAAGUAACUAUGCACGUCUGGACGGUACCUAAUCAGAAAGCCACGGCUAACUACGU
This 496-nucleotide ribosomal RNA is filed under the name uncultured bacterium. Its description in RNAcentral is "partial 16S ribosomal RNA". It matches the Rfam family "Bacterial small subunit ribosomal RNA", at positions 28 to 506 of the family's 1533-position model. The record is from RNAcentral.